Molecule: long non-coding RNA, 119 nt
Organism: Helianthus annuus (common sunflower)
Lineage: Eukaryota; Viridiplantae; Streptophyta; Magnoliopsida; Asterales; Asteraceae
Exons: 2
Source: RefSeq, a predicted model, not a curated record
ACCUCCUGGCGUACGUGUUGCAAGAGAUACUCAAGAUCUAUUGAUCGACUGUUGUGUCGAGUUCAUCAAUCUGGUUUCGUCAGAGUCAAAUGAAGUGUGUAGCAAAGAAGAUCGUAAAA